Bombina bombina (fire-bellied toad) is the source of this 731-nucleotide long non-coding RNA. RefSeq lists it as uncharacterized. Lineage: Eukaryota; Metazoa; Chordata; Amphibia; Anura; Bombinatoridae. The record is from RefSeq and is a predicted model, not a curated record. The transcript has 3 exons.
GCACUGCUCGCCCGGAUUGAGUGUGUUGAAGUUAGACUGGGAGCUUUGCAGUUCAAAGGCGGCGCUGAUUGACAGAUAGAGAGGGAAGGAGGGAGGGGGAAAGGGGAAGAGAGAAGGGAGAGUCUGGAUCCUGGAUUAUUGACAUGGAAGAAACACACUCACACCGAGAGGGAGAGAGAGACACAAAACUUUAAUGAGAUGCACUGGGGAGGGAUCUGCUGCUGACGUUGGCAUCAGGGGGGGCACUGCAAGAGAGGAACAAGAUAAAUAAGUUCUAUGUACAAGAAUUCUGGAGAAACGCAGAAUAAUGCGGAAACACAAGGUCAUGGAAGUUUGAAGACUCAGGGGAAAUGGAAGGAAGUAUUUCUUCACUCAGUAUGUAUGGUGAAUUCAAGGAACAGCUUCUAAGGCACAAUGAUAUUUCCUCACCUCUGCUUUCUGGAGAAGAAUGAGGAAAUCAUGUUAAGAACAAGGGAUUCUUUCUUGCUGUAUUUCCCACGCAGUAAGAGACAGGCCAAUAUAGAAAAUUCUUCAAAGAUUAGCGGUCGUGCAAUCCAUGUUCUUGCGUGCCAAUAUUUCCAUUGCUAUCCUGCCCAAAAUAAAUGUUGUGUAAAGAAUAUACCAAAUAUAAUGCUGCUGUUAAAUUGUGAUAACAUUGUAUAAAACAAGGUAUUAUCAAACAGAACAAUCCAUAUGUUUGUAACAGUAAAAAUAAAGUUAAAAUAAAAUUG